UGCCCUGUGACAUUGUUUAACGGCCGCGGUAUUAUGACCGUGCGAAGGUAGCGUAAUCACUUGUCUUUUAAUUGAAGACCUGUAUGAAAGGCAUCACGAGAGUUUACCUGUCUCUAUUUUCUAAUCAAUGAAAUUGAUUUCCCCGUGCAGAAGCGGGGAUAUAACCAUAAGACGAGAAGACCCUAUGGAGCUUUAAACACUUAAGUUACUAUCUUACUCAUUAAUUAAUCUAAAGACUUAAUCACUCUAAUAGCUAACCUAACUUAAUGUUUUCGGUUGGGGCGACCAAGGAGUAAAAGAAAACCUCCUUAUCGACUAAGUAUUUUUACUUAAAAACCAGAACGACAGUUCUGAUUAAUAGAAUAUCUAACGAAUAAUGACCCAGGGCCAUACCCUGAUCAAUGAACCAAGUUACCCUAGGGAUAACAGCGCAAUCCUUUUUAAGAGUCCAUAUCGCCGAAAGGGUUUACGACCUCGAUGUUGGAUCAGGACAUCCUAAU
This 500-nucleotide ribosomal RNA is filed under the name Dipturus cf. gigas KKB-2015. Its description in RNAcentral is "partial 16S ribosomal RNA". It matches the Rfam family "Bacterial large subunit ribosomal RNA", at positions 1860 to 2551 of the family's 2925-position model. Lineage: Eukaryota; Metazoa; Chordata; Chondrichthyes; Rajiformes; Rajidae. The record is from RNAcentral.